CCGCCUUUAAAGACCGCUCCCCGCUCUAACUGAAUAUGCUGCUAACUGGAGGUGCUGGGGUGACAGGUGUGCACCCCCAUGUCCAGCUUCUGCAGUGCUGAAGAUGGAACACAGAGCCCUGUGCAUGGGCACGUUAUACAAGUACUUUACCACCCGAGCUGCAUCCCCAGCACCCCCAAAAGGAGGCAGAAGGAGAGUAAGGCCAGGCAAUAUGAUUACAAGACACAGUCAAGAUGGACUUCCCACUGCAAGGCAAGUGGCAUCAGCUCCCACCCCACUCCUGGUACUGACUUCAGCUGAGACACCCCUUUGCAUCAGCAUCAGCAUCCCUACAGGGAUCAAUGGGAAAGAGAAGUAGACAACUCCCAGGCACGGCAGAAACAGGCACUGUCCCAUCUUCACAGACCCACUGGAUUGGCUGGUCCCUUUGUGUAGAUUUCCUGGGUAUCUACCUCUGCCUGACCCUCAUUCGCUUCCUUCCUGUCUGCCUCCAGCAAUGCUCUGUCCAGUGGCUCCAUCCCAGCAUCUGCUUCCCAGAGGAUAUGCCGCGUGCUCUUUUCCUUCACGGCUGUGGUGGAAGAUGUAAUGCCUCUGUCUCUGCUCCUGCCACAGCACCUUGCCUCCUUGAUGCACUCAUCUCUCUGGAAUCAUAAGGCAAAAGAAGCUCUUUUCUCAUUAGUGGCUUUUGGCCGUGGCGUUUUUAUCACAGCAACAGCAAAGCAAUUAAGUACAGGAACCAAAGAGAGCCCGAGAACGGUUUCUGAGUAGUGAUGAGGUACUGAUUCGUGUUUCAGACCAGGAGUCUGGGGGAAACUGGAUCCUGUCCCUGCUCUUCGAGGUCAUUGCAUAGAAGAAAACAGGCCAAAUACGGGACUUUACUCAAGGGUGAUGGGGCUCAGGAAGAAAGGACAGAGUGCUGGAAAAGUCACUCACCACCUCCCCAGCAUUCUCAUGGUGGGGGAGCAACCUACUGACAUCAUGGCCUGAUAUCGUCAUCUGCAAAAUUCCUGUUUGAGAAUUGUGCAACUGAGCUAGGAAAACAAAUAUGCUGCCUCAGUGAGUCAAGAGCUGACUGUGCAAGCAAGAGACCCAGGGUUUGAUCCCUUGCACCCAAUAAAAGAGCCGGGUGUGGCAGCACACAACUGUAAUCUUGGCUAUGGGGAGAGAUUGAGGAUGAGUCAACUCUGGAGGGCAGGAGAGAAGGAAAGAGAGAGAGAGAGAGAGAGAGAGAGGCAGAGACAGAAAGAGAGACAGAGACAGAGAGAUAGGGAGAGACAGAGAGGGACAGAGAGACAGACAGAGACAGAAAGAGACAGACACACAGAGACACAGAGAAACAGAGAGGAGAGACAAACAGAGAAAAACAGAGAAAGGGAGAUACAGAGAGUGACAGAGACAUAGAACAAGACACAGAGAAAAGGGAGAGAUAGAGAGACAGAAAGAGACAGAAACAGAAACAAAGAGUCACAGAGAGACACACAGAGAGAGGAAAGAAAGACAGAGAGAUAGUCAGAGAGACAGAAAGAUAGACAUAGAGAGAGACAGAGAGACAGAGACAGAAACACACAGAGAAACACCCGAGAGGAGACAGACAGAGACAAAGAGAUACAGAGAGGGACAGAGACACAGAGACAGAGAGAGAGGAGAGAGACACAGAGAGGGAAAAGACAGAUAGAGAGACAGAGAGAUAGAGACAGAAACAAAGACACAGAGAUACACAGAGACAGAGAGAGAUAAACACCAAACAUCAACUGCCUCACCUCUCAUCCUCAUACACAUGUACAAAAGCACACCCAUCUGCCACAGAACACACAAAUCACACACACAGUUGCAUGAAAAUUUCUCAGAUUUUAAGUAAGUUCACUCUUUUGUGUGCAGCUGUAUCUGUGCCUAGCAGAGGCAGCAACUUGUGACCCACACCAGUCAGACUCACCUGCUAGGAGAUGGUGGAAGGCUCUGUGCAGGCAGUGAUGGCUGAACUGGGGCCUAGGCUGAUGAGGAGAAAUGAAUCAGGCCAAGGUAAUGGGGACAGGAGAGAAAAGCUUAUCCACAGAGCUGGAAGACAGAGGGGAGGAUAGAGGAGGGGAGGGGAGGGGAAGGACAGGGAGGGGUGAGGUGGUAGCUUAGACAGUUGGGAUUACCAGGGUUACUCGGGAUCCUACUGUGAAUGAAGUAAGGACUCUAACCAGUGAUGUAGCUGCUCAUCCUAAUCCUUAGCUGACUGUUCCACUUUUGCUCUGGGAGCCAUUGUCAGACUGCACGUCCCUACUGAACAAACAGGAAGUGUCUAUGCAGAAAGAGUAGCUACCUAGGAAACAGACAGGGGCGGGGAUGUAAAGGUGAGACCCUGGCCUCCCAACCCGACUUGAACACCAACUGAGCAGUGGAUUCCACUGAUUCUAUGCAGAGAAGAAACACCCAGGUAUACCUUGCCUUGUUUCAGGCUUUGAAAUUUCGAGUUGAUUUGUUACACAGCAAAUGUUAGAUGAGACAUUGUUCUCUAGGAGGGGAGGAAAUCCCAGACAACUAUCUGUCCAUAACAGCAUGCAUCCAUUGAACAUCAGAACUGCAGUGAGCCAUCUGUUAAGGUUUUUAAACUGUCCUAAUCCCACUGAAAUGUCAGUUAAGGUAUUUGUGCCCAUUUUACAGAUGAACGCCAUUGAGGCUCACAGUGAGUGUGCUUUGUUCACAUUAUACAACCGAUGCAAAGGUAGGACAUGGUGGUAACUCCAGGACUGUGACUAUGUGACGCUGAUGACCCAGAGAUCUUUCUGUCCCCAUACCCCCUAGUGCUGGAAUUAAAAGCUUGUGCCAUGACACCCAGAUUUUUCCUUUUAAACCAGAGGGUUAAAUUCAUGCUCUCAUGCUUGUAAAGCAAGCACUUUAUUGACUGGUCCAUCGCCCACAGAACCCUGAUCCAUCUAUCUCCCCAGAAUUCAGCUCUUCUCUGUUUUGACUUUUCUGGCAUAGAUGAGAAAGCCUGGAAGAUGUGGGGUUAACAUGACACCUCUUUGAGAAGGCUAGUCUGUGGAUGGCAGAUGACCCUGAGCUAAGGGCCAAUGUACCAGACAGAGGCUCCUAUAUCCCAGGCCUAUCCACGGCUACCCAAUGUCCCCCAGACACCUGGUCUCGCAGUUGGCUCCACUUGUCACAUGGGAGUCAGGGCUCAGACAGACAGAUUGUCCCAGGCCCAGCUAUUGGUCUCAACCAUGACUCCAACUGGCCAAAUGACCUUGGGUCAUGACCCCUUCCCUUAGUCUCCAAUUUCCCCAUCUAUAAAAUAAGAUCAGAGUUCCUGGCACUCCCAUGUAUCAUUUCAUUGAAGUCCUCACUGUGCUAGAAUUCUACUCUGC
Rattus norvegicus (Norway rat) is the source of this 3353-nucleotide non-coding RNA. The record is from RefSeq and is a predicted model, not a curated record. Lineage: Eukaryota; Metazoa; Chordata; Mammalia; Rodentia; Muridae.